UACGAAGGGGGCUAGCGUUGUUCGGAAUUACUGGGCGUAAAGCGCGCGUAGGCGGUUUAUCAAGUUGGAAGUGAAAGCCCAAGGCUUAACCUUGGAAUUGCUUUCAAAACUAGUAGACUAGAGAAUGGUAGAGGAUGGUGGAAUUCCUAGUGUAGAGGUGAAAUUCUUAGAUAUUAGGAGGAACAUCGGAGGCGAAAGCGGCCAUCUGGACCAUUUCUGACGCUGAGGUGCGAAAGCGUGGGGAGCAAACAGG
Molecule: ribosomal RNA, 253 nt
Filed under: uncultured bacterium
Lineage: Bacteria
Description: partial 16S ribosomal RNA
Rfam family: Bacterial small subunit ribosomal RNA
Source: RNAcentral